This 425-nucleotide ribosomal RNA is filed under the name uncultured bacterium. RNAcentral's name for it is "partial 16S ribosomal RNA". It matches the Rfam family "Bacterial small subunit ribosomal RNA", at positions 354 to 796 of the family's 1533-position model. The record is from RNAcentral.
GUGGGGAAUAUUGGGCAAUGGGCGAAAGCCUGACCCAGCAACGCCGCGUGAAGGAAGAAGGUUUUCGGAUCGUAAACUUCUAUCCUUGGUGAAGAUAAUGACGGUAGCCAAGAAGGAAGCCCCGGCUAACUACGUGCCAGCAGCCGCGGUAAUACGUAGGGGGCAAGCGUUGUCCGGAAUGAUUGGGCGUAAAGGGCGCGUAGGCGGCCCGGUAAGUCUGAAGUGAAAGUCCUGCUUUUAAGGUGGGAAUUGCUUUGGAUACUGUAGUGCUUGAGUGCAGUGGGGGUAAGCAGACUUCACGGUGUAGAGGUGUAAUGCGUAGAGAUCGGGAGGAACACCAGUUGCGAAGGCGGCUUACUGGACUGUAACUGACUCUGAGGCGCGAAAGUGUGGGGAGCAAACAGGAUUAGAAACCCGUGUAGUCC